RNAcentral lists this long non-coding RNA (683 nucleotides) under Hordeum vulgare. Its description in RNAcentral is "long non-coding RNA (HVUL_LNC004492)". The record is from RNAcentral. Lineage: Eukaryota; Viridiplantae; Streptophyta; Magnoliopsida; Poales; Poaceae.
UUGAGGUGGAUAACAUACGAGUAUAAGAAUAAGAGGGGGAUGACCUACGCAUAACAGACGUGAAUUAAAGAUGAUCAAAUCAAUGAUCCUGAACACCUACUUACGUCAGACAUAACCCCACCGUGUCCUUAGUCGGAGAAAGGAACUCAUGAGAGAGACAAUCACGGUUACGCACACAGUUGGCAUAUUUUAAUUAAGCUUACUUCAAGUUAUCUAGAACCCGAUGUUAAACAAAGUUUCCAUGUUGCCACAUAACCACGGGCACGACUUCACGAAAGAUUUAACCCUGCAGGGGUGCUCCAACUAGUCCAUCAUAAAUUACCACAAGCCACAUAGAAAUCCUCGAUCACGAAACUCGUGAUCUCCUCGGAUUCCUUAGUGUAAAACCUCAACUCUGAGAUAACCCAAAGAAUCACCGGAAUCCUCAUGCACAAGAUAUUUCGUAAAAGGUAAAACUAAUCAAGCAAGGCCGUCCGAUGUGUUGACGAACCCGAUAGGAGCCGCGUAUCUCGUUCUAAGGUCACGACCGGAUGAGCACUACGUACGGUUGCCGGAUAGACAUCCCCUGAGUUGCCCCGGAUGGCCCCACAAGUGGCCCUGUUUUGGACCAACACUCAUGAGGAGCACUGGCCCUGGGGUUGAUUAAUUAUCCACGGGGUGAUCAAACCGUAUGCAUAUUUUAU